RNAcentral lists this ribosomal RNA (486 nucleotides) under uncultured Bacteroidota bacterium. RNAcentral's name for it is "bacterial SSU rRNA". It matches the Rfam family "Bacterial small subunit ribosomal RNA", at positions 355 to 838 of the family's 1533-position model. Lineage: Bacteria; Pseudomonadati; Bacteroidota. The record is from RNAcentral.
UAAGGAAUAUUGGUCAAUGGACGCAAGCCUGAACCAGCCAUGCCGCGUGGAGGAUGAAGGUCCUCUGGAUUGUAAACUUCUUUUAUCUGGGAAGAAAUCCAUUUUUUCUAAGAUGGUUGACGGUACCAGACGAAUAAGCACCGGCUAACUCCGUGCCAGCAGCCGCGGUAAUACGGAGGGUGCAAGCGUUAUCCGGAUUCACUGGGUUUAAAGGGUGCGUAGGUGGGCAGUUAAGUCAGUGGUGAAAUCUCCGGGCUUAACCCGGAAACUGCCAUUGAUACUAUCUGUCUUGAAUGCCGUGGAGGUAAGCGGAAUAUGUCAUGUAGCGGUGAAAUGCUUAGAUAUGACAUAGAACACCAAUUGCGAAGGCAGCUUACUACACGAAUAUUGACACUGAGGCACGAAAGCGUGGGGAUCAAACAGGAUUAGAUACCCUGGUAGUCCACGCCCUAAACGAUGGAUACUCGACAUACGCGAUACACAGUG